RNAcentral lists this ribosomal RNA (652 nucleotides) under uncultured fungus. RNAcentral's name for it is "eukaryotic LSU rRNA". The stretch from base 266 to 419 matches the Rfam family "5.8S ribosomal RNA". The record is from RNAcentral. Lineage: Eukaryota; Fungi.
CUUGGUCAUUUAGAGGAAGUAAAAGUCGUAACAAGGUUUCCGUAGGUGAACCUGCGGAAGGAUCAUUAACGCGCCGUGAAGGUCAACCUUAAUGGGUAUGAUCUUUCACCUGGCCCACCCUUGUUUAUAUUUAACUGUUGCUUUGGUGAGCCUGCUAUUAUGGCUGCCGGGGAAUUUACAUUUCCGGGCUCGUGUUCACCAGAGUCUUUAGCGAACUCUGUGUUUGAUUUUAGCUGUCUGAGAAUAAAAAAGAAAUUACUUUUAAAACUUUCAACAACGAAUCUCUUGGUUCUGGCAUCGAUGAAGAACGCAGCGAAAUGCGAUAAGUAAUGUGAAUUGCAGAAUUCCGUGAAUCAUCGAAUCUUUGAACGCAUAUUGCGCCCUCUGGUAUUCCGGAGGGCAUGCCUGUCCGAGCGUCAUUAUCACAUAUCAAGCUCUAAGCUUGUUUUGAGCCAUCUUGUUCUUUUGAUGAACAGGCUUGAAAUGCAAGUGGCGAUAUGCAGUUUGGUGCCUAGCAUUAUGGGGCUCUGUCACAUGCUUUAGUGGCCCAGACUGGUAUAUUCAGCCUUUUUUACAAAUUAGAUUCAAAAGAGAUUGACCUCGGAUCAGGCAAGAAUACCCGCUGAACUUAAGCAUAUCAAUAAGCGGAGGA